Molecule: long non-coding RNA, 358 nt
Filed under: Daphnia pulicaria
Lineage: Eukaryota; Metazoa; Arthropoda; Branchiopoda; Diplostraca; Daphniidae
Description: uncharacterized LOC124341866, transcript variant X1
Source: RNAcentral
UGCUGAAUGAACUGAUUAUAUUUAUCAUCAGACAUCACUCCCUUUCAGAAAAUUAUGUCUUGAAGAUGACGAUAAGUUGCCAGUUGAUUUACAUGUCACCCUUAGUGAUAUCCUACCACACCAUCCUUUAUUCGGCAUGCAAAAAAAACUUUCCAUUCUGGGUUUCUCUGAUUUGAAAGGCCUUGAUGAUGUAAUGGUGCUAGGAGAAAAUUUUAUCAACAGAGAGAAAUGAAAGCUGCAGCUGUGUGAAAUGGAAUUGACAAUUACAUUCAUCAACAGACACAUUUCAGUUUCAGAAAUUUUUGUCUUGAGACAAAAGUUGCCAGUCGAUUUACAUGUCACCUUAAGUGAUAUCAUA